Molecule: ribosomal RNA, 429 nt
Filed under: bacterium
Lineage: Bacteria
Description: partial 16S ribosomal RNA
Rfam family: Bacterial small subunit ribosomal RNA
Source: RNAcentral
UAGGGAAUCUUCGGCAAUGGGGGCAACCCUGACCGAGCAACGCCGCGUGAGUGAAGAAGGUUUUCGGAUCGUAAAGCUCUGUUGUAAGAGAAGAACGUGUGUGAGAGUGGAAAGUUCACACAGUGACGGUAACUUACCAGAAAGGGACGGCUAACUACGUGCCAGCAGCCGCGGUAAUACGUAGGUCCCGAGCGUUGUCCGGAUUUAUUGGGCGUAAAGCGAGCGCAGGCGGUUUAAUAAGUCUGAAGUUAAAGGCAGUGGCUUAACCAUUGUUCGCUUUGCAAACUGUUAAACUUGAGUGCAGAAGGGGAGAGUGGAAUUCCAUGUGUAGCGGUGAAAUGCGUAGAUAUAUGGAGGAACACCGGUGGCGAAAGCGGCUCUCUGGUCUGUAACUGACGCUGAGGCUCGAAAGCGUGGGGAGCAAACAGG